GGCGGCCUGUGCGCGGCGCAGGGCCCGGGCCACCCCGGGCCCAGCGGCACCGCCUGGGAAGCGCUCGGCCCCCGGACUGGAGCCAGCGGAGCAGGAGCGCGCCCUGAGCGGCCGGGCGACGGCUGGGCGGGGUGCUCGGCCGCAGGAGAGCCCCUGGGCCCGCCUGGGUGCGGGGCCUCUGGGGAGCAGGGGCUCGCCACCGCCCUCCCGUUCUGUUCGCCCAGCGGCAGCUCCAUGGGGGGAGUUGAGCAAUAUUUCGGGUUGCCAGUUUUGGUUGGAUCUGUUCUAGGAGGUGUUUUCACAUGAGAAAUAUUCCAGAAGACUUCAGGCGGAGGGGAAACUUCAGCCCAAAGGGUUACAUUUUGAUUAUUUCAGUUGGGUUCUCCCUACACCUCCAUGCAAAACAUAACAUGGAACUCUGAUAGCAAAAGCUAAAAAAUUGAUUGUGCAGAAAAGAGAAAUGCACAGUCCAACUCUGCAAAAAGUGUGUGACUGAAAUUUGAGAAAGUGGGAACGGUUAAAAAAAAAAACAACCUCAUUUCUGCAUCACCAAAACAAAAUGAAGUGUUCCCAUUUAAAUAUUUGAUGUAUCUAUCGAAAAAGAAUACCUAAUUAUAUCUAUAACCUUUAUCCUCCUUCACCUUUCUGCUGCAUGUUAGAUUAAUGUAAAGUCCAGCAUUUGGACUGUAAACUUUUUGGGGGUAGAAAGCUGUCUUCUGUGUGCUUCCCACUUAACCCAUCUGUGGACACUAUGAAAUAUCAUCUCCACAGCUGUAGGGAGGAGAAGAAAGAGGUGAGAAUGGGGAAGGCUGAAGUUUAAUGGGUUGAUGAAGGGAAUAGAUUUUUGAUAUAUCGCGAAAGGGUAGCAUUCACUGAAAACAUUUGGUAUAUACAUCUACAGAUUAUUUAAUUUCAAAAGAGGAUUUUGCAACAAAAAAAGAACAUAGUCAGCUAAUAGCUGUUGGAACUCCCUUCUCUUCACUGAAAGCAUUUAUGUUUUGAAAGCAAAGGUAUGCCAAUGCCUGAUCAGCACAUGUAAAUUCUAGAAGGGGAGGGAGCCAGUAGCCUGCCAAAAGACUGAGAAAGAGGCUUUGAGAUGCAAUCUAGAAGCAUUUUCACAUUAAAAUAAAUGACAAGAUCACAUUUCCAAGUGAAAUCCUGGUCACAGUGAUGUUAGUGGGUGUAAACAACUUGAGGUGGGAUUGAUGUAGGGUUAACUUUGCUACUGCCCUUUUGACACAGUUAAAAUAUUAAAUGAAACACCAUAGUUAGUGUUACUAAGUCAUGUUGUUUUACAUGAACCAAAAAGUUUAUCCUAAAAUAUGUUUUUAAUGCCAUAAGUUAUACACAUAGCAAGCAUAUCAAGUUUAGGCAAUGGGCAUGUGUUCAGCUGUAAAUGUGCAUAUUGAUUAGUCAACAGGUUCAUAAUUGCAAUGGAAUAAAACUGAUUUGAAACCAU
Molecule: long non-coding RNA, 1459 nt
Organism: Gopherus flavomarginatus (Mexican gopher tortoise)
Lineage: Eukaryota; Metazoa; Chordata; Testudines; Testudinidae
Exons: 3
Source: RefSeq, a predicted model, not a curated record